RNAcentral lists this ribosomal RNA (455 nucleotides) under uncultured Gammaproteobacteria bacterium. RNAcentral's name for it is "bacterial SSU rRNA". It matches the Rfam family "Bacterial small subunit ribosomal RNA", at positions 388 to 866 of the family's 1533-position model. The record is from RNAcentral. Lineage: Bacteria; Pseudomonadati; Pseudomonadota; Gammaproteobacteria.
CCAGCAUGCGCGUGAGUGAUGAGGCCUAGGGUCGUAAAGCACUUUCNNNAGGGAUGAUAAUGACAGUACCUGGUUACAGAAACCCCGGCUCAACUACGUAGCCAGCAGCCGACGGUAAUACGCAGGGGGAUAGCGUUGUUCGGUAUGACUGGGCGUAAAGCGUACGUAGGCGGCUCAGCAAGUACCGAGSUGAAAUCCCAGGGCUCAACCCUGGAACUGCCUCUAAACUCCUSAGUCUAGAGUCGAGAGAGGUGAGUGGAUUCCGAGUGUAGAGGUGAAAUUCGAGAUAUUCGGAGGAACACCAGUGGCGAAGGCGGCUCACUGGCUCGAUACUGACGCUGAGGWCGAAAGUGUGSGGAGCAAACAGGAUUAGAUACCCUGGUAGUCCCACACGUAAACGAUSAAUGCCAGUCGUCGGGUAGCAUGCUGUUCGUGACACACUAACGAUAAGAGCG